This is a non-coding RNA of Paramuricea clavata, 1205 nucleotides long. Lineage: Eukaryota; Metazoa; Cnidaria; Anthozoa; Malacalcyonacea; Plexauridae. The record is from the annotation of a GenBank genome assembly.
CUCUAAACCAGGAACAAUUGUUUUUGACUGGAAAUAAGAACCAGUUAUGAACCACUUCAGCCUGAUUUCUUUUUAAGUACCCGUUAUAUAAGCACCACUUCAGCCUGAAGUCAAAAUUCACUGGUUCUUUUAUGCGGGGUUUUACUGUAUACCAGAUAGCUUUCCGUAGCGGAGAUGUUGUUUCGCUGAGCUUCUGAAAGUUCGACAUUCCGUAUCGGAUAAGUGUUUUUUUCGCGCCGCUAUGGAAAACUAUCCGGUAUAGUGUAAACGUAGUUUAAAAUUUAUUUUCUCACUUUAAUAACUGCAGGUUGACACCAUCUGCUGCACGAUAGUGCUUAGUAAAACCAAGCUAUUUAACAGUUAUUCUACGAACUCGAGUCGAAUAUGAGCUGAUAGCCGAUGAGGCGCGUAGCGCCAAAUCGGCUAUCGCUCAUAUUCGACGAGAGUGAGUGGAAUAACUGUUUUAUUAUAUACACAAGGUCUGAAUUCACAGACUUUGCUUUUCGGAUAUUUUCAAUAUUUUUCUAUUUUGUUUAUGUAACUUUUAUCGUCGCUCUUUCGGCCGAUUAUUUUUUCAAAAAUAUAUAUUUUUAACCAUUUUAAAUUUUAAAAAUUCAUUUGCUAACCUGUAAACAAUUUGUGGGAGUUUUUCAUUGUGUUUUUAAUCCUGUAAAGGUUAUUAAAAGCGAAUAACUUGCCGUUUUCUCGUUCGCAAAAUGUCGGAAAUUCAGUUUGAGCCGCCAUUUUGUUUUUCUCUACUAGCAGGAUAUGAGCCACUGAGCUAUAAUAUAGUAUAGCUCAGUGAUAUGAGCUAAUAUCCUGCUAGUAGAGAACCAAUCAAAUUGCAGAACACCUCAUAUCCAGACCUUGUGCAUAUAAUAAAAGUUGAUAAUCAUGUCCCACUCUGUCGGUAAUUCUGUCCGGUAAUUUUGUUUUUAACGGCAUUCACGAAAAUAAAAUAUUUUAUUAUUAUGUACAAAACAGUUACACGUGUAAAUUGAGUAAAUUAUGAGGAGCAAUGCAACUAAUUUCAAAAACAUAAUUCAGAUAGUUUUCAUCAUUUAAUCAAUUGAAUCAAGAAGCAUUAUGUAUUUAAUGAACUACAUCACUUGCGUUUGUAAAUUAAGAUGUCAAUGAACUGCGUGUGUCUGUGUAAUUUAGCAAUUUAUCACUUGUCUUUUACGAUGCAAUGUUUUUAAGUUCAG